RNAcentral lists this ribosomal RNA (253 nucleotides) under uncultured bacterium. Its description in RNAcentral is "partial 16S ribosomal RNA". It matches the Rfam family "Bacterial small subunit ribosomal RNA", at positions 524 to 776 of the family's 1533-position model. The record is from RNAcentral.
AACGUAGGAGACAAACGUUAUCCGGAGUUACUGGGCGUAAAGGGCGUGUAGGUGGUUUUGUAAGUCUGGCGUGAAAUUUUUCGGCUUAACCGGGAAAGGUCGUCGGAUACUGCAAGGCUAGAGGAUGGUAGAGGCGUGUGGAAUUCCGGGUGUAGUGGUGAAAUGCGUAGAGCCCCGGAGGAACACCAGUGGCGAAGGCGACACGCUGGGCCAUACCUGACCCUGAUGCGCGACAGCAUGGGGAGCAAACAGG